ACAUUGCUUGCGAUGCAGAGACGCCACCGAGUAAAUACGUUGAUUUACCAAAAAUAGACGACUCUAUGGACGCGCUGCCGUCGUAUCCCGAUUUGGCGACCCUGUGCCGCCUGUGCCUCAAGGAGCACCAGGAUGCGUACGCCAUCUUCGACGAGGACGACGCCCAGCUCUCGAUUCCCGUGCGCCUGAUGGCCUGCGUCUCACUGGACGCCAAGGCGACGGAUACUCUGCCGAAGAGGAUCUGUCAGGAGUGCCGCUACCAGCUGGAAAAGUCAUUCCUCUUCCGGCAGCGCUGCCAGUGGGCGGAGAAGAAGCUUCGCAAGCAUGUCCGGCUUCUGGGGCUCGGGAAGCGAAGCCGCGUCUUCUCCAAGGAUCCGGACGACUAUGACGAGGACGAGCUGGAGUUUGAGGAUUCGAUAGCCUUCAUCGAGGCGCAGGACAAAGUGCGCAAGUUGGAGGACGAAAAGUGGCGAGACGAGUUCAAGGAAGAACAGACAGCGGAAAUGCACAAGCGGUUGGUCAAAUCUCGUCUAGAACUUCGAACCAAGUUGACCACCGAGCUGCGAAAGGAACUGGCGGAGGAAGUGCGCAGUGAGGUGCGCAAGGAACUGGCCGAGGAGGUGCGCAACCAGGUUAGAGACGACCUGCGAAACGAGGUUAGCGAGGACAUUAGAAAGGAGCAGCUGGCCAUGCUGUUAGGCGAAUUGGAGGUGUAUCUCACCGAGAAGAAGGCCGGUCGCUGGGAGUCCUUGGAUGGGUCCGAGCCGGAGUCCAAGACGCAAGCCAAUGAAGACGCCUCCACCCCCAGGCCAAAACUUAAAUCUCUUCCAAAGCGACGCCCCAGCUUGGUCGUCGCCAAUCAAAAGGUGAUACAGCCCACGAAGGAUGCAAAAGAGGAAGAAUUUAUAUUGGGGUGCAAUUCCGAACCCGUAAGUACGAGCGAUGUAAACAUAGAUGGCCUCGAACUGGAGGAGGAAGUACCCGCGGAUAGUGGUGAAGAUUUCAGGGAUAUCAACAUGGUUGGAUCGGGGGAUGUAGUGCACACAGAUAAUGGAGAGAUUUACAUCAUAAACUCCGCUAGCUCGGAGGAUCAAAACCAGGACUCCACUCCCGAAUUUGACCAGGACAACGGAAUAACCUCCUAUAACAGUAAUCAAGGAAGAUGGCGAGAUUCAGUUCAGUGGCGAAAAGCCAGAGGAAAUCGAAGACGUGGUGGUGUUUAACCUGGGCGAGGAGAUAUCUCAGGAGCAACAGGUCUUCAGCUUCCACGAAAAUGUCAUUAUAGUGGAAAAGGAACAGAACGAUGGACAUGAGCAGUCGCCUCUCAAGCGAAAAAGGUCGAGUGAGUUGGUGUUCAAGCAGGAGUCCAGUUGCCCUCAA
Molecule: unclassified non-coding RNA, 1380 nt
Filed under: Drosophila yakuba
Lineage: Eukaryota; Metazoa; Arthropoda; Insecta; Diptera; Drosophilidae
Description: GE23983
Source: RNAcentral